Molecule: ribosomal RNA, 519 nt
Filed under: Triticum aestivum (bread wheat)
Lineage: Eukaryota; Viridiplantae; Streptophyta; Magnoliopsida; Poales; Poaceae
Description: partial small subunit ribosomal RNA
Source: RNAcentral
AUGAUAGGUCUUAUUUGGAAUAUCAAAGGACUAAGUAAGCCUGGUAAAGUUCAGUGCCUUUGUGAUGUGAUUGCUAAAGUUAACCCUGAUUUUAUUGGUUUCCAAGAGACUAAGAAGGAAAGUAUAUCUGAGGGUUUCCUUAAAGCUCUGGAUAGUAAGCAGCUCUUUAGCUGGCAUUUUCUCCCAGCUAUAAGGACUGCUGGAGGUAUCUUAGUUGGCUUGAAAUAUGAGCUCUUUGAGGUGAUUGGGUUUACUAAUAAUAGAUUCUCUGUUAAGGCUAUUAUCAAGAAUAAGUGGGAUGGUUUUUUAUGGCAUCUAGUCAUAGUUUAUGGGUAUGCUUACCCUGAAUUCAAGGGGCAAAAAUGGCGAAGCAUUCGCUGCAUCAUGGACCUGGUGGGAGGGCUGGUGAGGCAAUGGAAGAUUUUGUGCUCCGACACUCAGGAUGUGCUUCUUCUUCGAUGUUUAAGGCUUUUGGAUCGGCGAAGAGGGGAGCUGCUUAGAAUAGCCUGGGUUAUGUGA